Molecule: ribosomal RNA, 394 nt
Filed under: uncultured bacterium
Lineage: Bacteria
Description: bacterial SSU rRNA
Rfam family: Bacterial small subunit ribosomal RNA
Source: RNAcentral
AUUGAACGCUGGCGGCAGGCUUAACACAUGCAAGUCGAGCGGUAACAGAGAGUAGCUUGCUACUUUGCUGACGAGCGGCGGACGGGUGAGUAACGCGUAGAAAUCUGCCUGAUAGUGGGGGAUAGCCCAGAGAAAUUUGGAUUAAUACCGCAUACGCCCUACGGGGGAAAGAAGGGGACCUUCGGGCCUUUUGCUAUCAGAUGAGUCUGCGUCGGAUUAGCUAGUUGGUGAGGUAAUGGCUCACCAAGGCGACGAUCCGUAGCUGGUCUGANANGAUGAUCAGCCACACUGGGACUGAGACACGGCCCANACUCCUACNGGAGGCAGCNGUGGGGAAUAUUGCACAAUGGGCGCAAGCCUGAUGCAGCCAUGCCGCGUGUGUGAAGAAGGCCUU